Molecule: long non-coding RNA, 2530 nt
Organism: Accipiter nisus (Eurasian sparrowhawk)
Lineage: Eukaryota; Metazoa; Chordata; Aves; Accipitriformes; Accipitridae
Source: Ensembl
GGUGACCGGAGAAGCUCACCGACACUGGCCGCUCGCCCGAGGCAGGGCCCGGGGAGGGAGGGAACUGAGCCGAUCUGUUGAAUGCAGCGAGGAGCUCGGGAAAAUGCCAAAAGAAGUGCCAAAAGAAAAAGCUCAUUUCCUUCCCUCCCUUUGCUCCCUGUAAGCCGGGCUUUAUCCGUACCAGGGCAGCGGGUGGGGGGUACGGGGGGACACGCUGGGCAUGACUCUGGCUGGGGGGAGAGUCGGGGCAAGACCCUCCUGCCUGUGACCUGCCGCCUCUGUGCCGAGAGCCACGGUCCGAAGGGAUGUGCCGAGAUCCUGGCUGCUUUUGGCUAGCCUAGCCGAGCCGGGGGGAUGCAGCACUGGGGGCUGCGGUGAGGGUGGGCUAUUUUUGUCAGGGUGGUGGGUGCCCUCGGGUAGCAGCAGGGUCCAGCUGCCCCAGGCUGGGGGGGCACAGGCAAACCCAUUUUGGGGAGGGCAGCAGGUGCUGGGCUGGUGGUGCUGAGCUGCAACCCGGGCUGUCAGGGCAGCGGAGCGGGAGCUUCAAGGGGAUUUUACAGCGGGACCCGAAGCUCGGGUGCAGCCUUGGCCCGGCCCCGCAUCCCAGAGGCCAGCAUCGCCCUGCGGAGGAGCCUGCCGGCUCCCCGAAAAAGAGUGUCACGUGCUUCAACUUUGGCAUCAGGCAGGAGGAGGAUGGAUUUGUCAGCUCAGCCACCCCCUUCCAGCUCUUCCCAGAAAGGCAACGGCUUGAAGAUGUGGCAGCCUCUCCCGGCUGGAGCUCUGUGCACGUUGGCUGCUGGCAGAGACCCUGCGCCGCCUCCCGCAAGGUGAGCUGCUGUGAUCUCCGCUUGCUCCGCAGCCAGAUCCUGCUCGCCUUCCCCUUGCUGCGCUAUCUGAUCCUUCAAAGUGAAGGAUUAGCCCUGGCCCGCUUAGCAGUGGGGAGGGAGGGGGAAGGAAAGAGCUUGCCUGCAGUUAAGGAGAUAUAUAUAUAUAUAUAUAGUGUGAUAAAUAUUCCCUGGGUCUGAUCCGUGCCCAGUGGGAGCAUUUUACUUUGGACUUCAGCAUCUUUCAGGGGCUGCUCUGGGGCAGCGAGGAGGGUGGUGAUACCUGGCUUUUCUCCCUGUGGGGCUCUGAGCCAGGUGCUGGCCGGAUCCGGUUGCAGAGAGGUCGAGUCGGCAGCCUGGCUAUGGGCUUGGGUUUAUGCAAACCUUGCGAUAUCAGUUCGUGCAUCAGUUGAGGGAUUGCUGGGGGGGUGGGCUGUGUCUUGGGGUGCGUCGGGUGGGUUUUGAUGGUAAAAUCUGGUGUCUCUGCUCGCUGCUGCCUGCUGAGCUGUGGCUUUGCUUUUUCUCCAAGCAAAUGCUGGGGUACUUGACCUGAAUACUUAAGGUUUUGCCUGUCAAGAGAGAACUUAACCUGGCAUCCCCUCCCUCCGUGUCUAAAUUCUGCUGUACUUCACGGCGCUUUUGCAAUUAAAAAAACCAGGAGCCAAAGUGAAGUUCCCUGUAAUCGCUUGCAAGUGGGGAAGAGCGAGCGUGUGCUAAUUGGGAUAUUGUGCUGCGUGCCGGCUGGCCCCGCUUGCCGAAGGAAUAGCAGGUGGGGAAAGAAACGGCCUUGAUUUUCAAAAAGAUGCCAGUGAGCUCACGGCAGCCAGCGUGGCGGAAGCCGGCACAGCCCUCCCAGUGCUGGGGCUGGGCUGGGGAGGUCUCCUUGGUGGUGGGCUGACAGGCGGUCGGCUUCUUGGCAGCUGGGGAAGGGGUUGUGCAGGUGAGUGCUGGGCACGUGCUCUUGGCUGCGUCUCCUGGACCGUGUCACCGGCUCAGCCUUUGCCUGGUUUAACAAGCCCCAAUGCAACUGGGUGGACUCAGCACAAAACCAGCGAGUGCCCUGGCUCUGAACUGGGAGCCAACAGGUCCUGCAAGCUGAAGGAGCCCAGUCCUGCUGCAGGCAGAGCUCUGUGGUCCAUGGGAGCGGGAUCUGCUCAGAGAGGGGUGGGAUGCUCAGGCCGCCCUGCGAUAAGCCCUGGCUGGGAUCUGAAUAACUCACCUCUCGGCUUUGCCCGCUGCUGGCGGUGAUAAAGCCGCGGUGAUUAGUGCUUAGCCGGCACUUGGCUUGAUGGGACAUGAGACGUGAACUCGCCUGCCUGCAGCGGCAUGGGCUCCACGGAGCUAAUGGCAGUAAAAUGACUUGGUUUUGACUGGGAGUCCUGCAGGGAGCGGAGUGAGGGAGAGAAAUGGGCUGUUUCUUUCCUUAUUUAUUUAUUUCCCCCCUUGAAGGAGAUUUUUUCAUUGCUGCAAAAUUCCUGCGUCGAGGGGCAGGUCUCCAGCAAAGAGCCCCCCUGUGCUCUGCAGCCGCGAUGGGCCAGGUCUUCUCUGCCCCCAGUGCUGGGGGUCAGGCUGGGCGACCGCACUCUCAGGAUCGCUCGGUGAAAUUUGGGGCUCCCUCUGGGCUGUCUGUUCCUGGGGCUGCGGCAGCACCAAGCUGGGGAAGGGAAAUUUUGCAAACAAAACCCAUGCCGUGCAUGCGAGGGGGC